Molecule: non-coding RNA, 124 nt
Organism: Triticum aestivum (bread wheat)
Lineage: Eukaryota; Viridiplantae; Streptophyta; Magnoliopsida; Poales; Poaceae
Source: Rfam
UAGGUACUCCCUCCGUCCGAAAAUAUUUGUCCUCAAAAUGGAUAAAUUGGAUGUAUCUAUAACUAAAAUAAGUCUAGAUACAUCCAUUUCUAGGACAAGUAUUUCCGGCCAAAGGGAGUAUUAA